RNAcentral lists this transfer RNA (74 nucleotides) under Stratiformator vulcanicus. RNAcentral's name for it is "Planctomycetes bacterium Pan189 tRNA-Thr". It matches the Rfam family "tRNA". From Rfam's summary of the family: Transfer RNA (tRNA) molecules are approximately 80 nucleotides in length. The record is from RNAcentral. Lineage: Bacteria; Pseudomonadati; Planctomycetota; Planctomycetia; Planctomycetales; Planctomycetaceae.
GCCGCUGUAGCUCAGUUGGCAGAGCGACGCUUUCGUAAAGCGUAGGUCGUCGGUUCAAGUCCGACCAGCGGCUC